RNAcentral lists this non-coding RNA (21 nucleotides) under Arabidopsis thaliana (thale cress). The record is from RNAcentral. Lineage: Eukaryota; Viridiplantae; Streptophyta; Magnoliopsida; Brassicales; Brassicaceae.
AUCAAUGCAUUGAAAGUGACU